GGGUAAGUAGGUUGGUCGUGCCACCGGUACGUACUGGUCUCACUGAUUCCUCCUUCCUGAAGAACCGUAAUGCCAUUAAUUUGGUGUUGCGGGGAAACAGGACUGUUACUUUGAAAAAAUUAGAGUGUUUAAAGCAAGCUAACGCUUGAAUACAUUAGCAUGGGAUAAUGAAAUAGGACGAUCGAUCCUAUUUUGCUGGUUUCUAGGAUCGACGUA
RNAcentral lists this ribosomal RNA (216 nucleotides) under Glomeromycotina sp. RNAcentral's name for it is "partial small subunit ribosomal RNA". The stretch from base 44 to 216 matches the Rfam family "Eukaryotic small subunit ribosomal RNA", at positions 690 to 864 of the family's 1831-position model. Lineage: Eukaryota; Fungi; Glomeromycota. The record is from RNAcentral.